This 253-nucleotide ribosomal RNA is filed under the name uncultured bacterium. RNAcentral describes it as "partial 16S ribosomal RNA". It matches the Rfam family "Bacterial small subunit ribosomal RNA", at positions 524 to 776 of the family's 1533-position model. The record is from RNAcentral.
UACGGGGGGGGCAAGCGUUGUUCGGAAUUACUGGGCGUAAAGCGUGCGCAGGCGGUUUUGUAAGACAGGCGUGAAAUCCCCGGGCUUAACCUGGGAACUGCGUUUGUGACUGCAAGGCUAGAGUACGGCAGAGGGGGGUGGAAUUCCACGUGUAGCAGUGAAAUGCGUAGAGAUGUGGAGGAACACCAAUGGCGAAGGCAGCCCCCUGGGUCGAUACUGACGCUCAUGCACGAAAGCGUGGGUAGCAAACAGG